UACUCUGAUUUCUCUUGAGAUCGUAUAAAUCGUUCACCUUUUACUAAAGAUUUCUGUGGAAAGGAAUAUCUUGACAGACAGGUGUAUUUCUGCAUUUGUCCUCUUGCUGGUGACCC
Gorilla gorilla gorilla (western lowland gorilla) is the source of this 116-nucleotide small nuclear RNA. Its record names the gene U5. It matches the Rfam family "U5 spliceosomal RNA". Rfam says of the family: U5 RNA is a component of both types of known spliceosome. The precise function of this molecule is unknown, though it is known that the 5' loop is required for splice site selection and p220 binding, and that both the 3' stem-loop and the Sm site are important for Sm protein binding and cap methylation. NCBI's taxonomy places the organism in Eukaryota, Metazoa, Chordata, Mammalia, Primates, Hominidae. The record is from Ensembl.